GACGAACGCUGGCGGCGUGCCUAAUACAUGCAAGUUGAGCGCUGAAGGUUGGUACUUGUACCAACUGGAUGAGCAGCGAACGGGUGAGUAACGCGUGGGGAAUCUGCCUUUGAGCGGGGGACAACAUUUGGAAACGAAUGCUAAUACCGCAUAAAAACUUUAAACACAAGUUUUAAGUUUGAAAGAUGCAAUUGCAUCACUCAAAGAUGAUCCCGCGUUGUAUUAGCUAGUUGGUGAGGUAAAGGCUCACCAAAGCGAUGAUACAUAGCCGACCUGAGAGGGUGAUCGGCCACAUUGGGACUGAGACACGGCCCAAACUCCUACGGGAGGCAGCAGUAGGGAAUCUUCGGCAAUGGACGAAAGUCUGACCGAGCAACGCCGCGUGAGUGAAGAAGGUUUUCGGAUCGUAAAACUCUGUUGGUAGAGAAGAACGUUGGUGAGAGUGGAAAGCUCAUCAAGUGACGGUAACUACCCAGAAAGGGACGGCUAACUACGUG
This 497-nucleotide ribosomal RNA is filed under the name uncultured bacterium. RNAcentral describes it as "partial 16S ribosomal RNA". It matches the Rfam family "Bacterial small subunit ribosomal RNA", at positions 28 to 507 of the family's 1533-position model. The record is from RNAcentral.